Molecule: long non-coding RNA, 2457 nt
Organism: Oncorhynchus tshawytscha (Chinook salmon)
Lineage: Eukaryota; Metazoa; Chordata; Actinopteri; Salmoniformes; Salmonidae
Source: Ensembl
CCCUGUUCCUCUAUUAGUGGUCAUGAAGGAACAGUACUUCCCUGUUCCUCUAUUAGUGGUCAUGAAGGAACAGUACUUCCCUGUUCCUCUAUUAGUGUUCAUGAAGGAACAGUACUUCCCUGUUCCUCUAUUAGUGGUCAUGAAGGAACAGUACUACCUUCGUUUUUGUUUUUGUCUGGAUAGAUUUAGUAUUUUUGUUCAGUGUACAUAUAUGAUGACAUAUUGAAAAAGCACUUUUUUAUUUUUCAUAACUUGAAAAAGGUCCUGUUCCAAUAUGUACAGAUCGAGAGAUAUAUCAGACAGCUCGUGUGAAACCUCUUCUCCUCUUUAUUCAUUAGUUCUGUGUGUAUUUGUUGUUGUUUUUUGUUGUUGUAGAAUGAUAAAUUACAUAUCAGUCUCACACAAAACCAAGCUUACUAAGCAACUAUGAAAUGCUGCAUAUAAAGAUUGUGUCAGAUUACGGUGCUUAUUAUUGUCAACCGCACUUGAUUUAUAUGAAUCUGGAUAAUCAUGUUUGUUCACUGUCUGGACUUCUAGAGUGUUUUAAAUAGGACAUGUUUUUAUACAGACAUAGCUAAAAAGACCACAUAAAACCUGUUGAAAUGGUGACUAUAUUACUGUAUAUUUGUUACUGGUGCUAACAAGAUCUGUACCCUCUUUUUAACUGACUCGGGCAUUGAUGGACAGUUAUGUUUUUCCAUAUGCUGGGUAUAAAUACAUUAUACAAGUGGAUACCAAACCAAUCAAACCCCUUUGUUGUUUCUCAUUGCCUCCUCUUCAAUUUUUGGGAGACGCUGCUGACAAAAUAACACACUCCUCAGAUCGUUGCAUCUCCUCAGAUCGUUGCAUCGUCAUAAAUUGUAGGCUUAUCACGUAUUGAGUCAGAUUGUAGACCUCUACAGAUUAUAAACCUUCUUCUGAUAGGGGCAACCAUUUUGAGUAUUAAUUCAUGCUCACAUUAGUCAAUCAUAACCAUGUAAUAAUAGGCCCAUUCACUAAUACUCAGUGCUUUGCUGGGGUAGGAGCGAACUGGAGCUGAAUACUGCCACCUCAAAUGUUCUACUGCUUGAGCUCCUGUUCCUCUUAUAGACUAUUAGCUCAAAAGUAUUGUGGAGCUCCUACAAAAUACAUAUCAACAGUACCGGUACCGACACUUAGUGCAUUCCAAGUCAAGCACUGCUACUAAUGUAAUCGAUUAGGCAUCUGUUGCAUUGAUCUGUCUUAACAUAUGCUGAAUAUAAAUCAGCUCAACGCAGAUAAAGAUUUCACUGGUGCUUUCAUUUUACUAAAACACAGAGCUGGAAAUGUUUGAUUGUUUGGUUUUUGUCAUCUUUUUUCUGUUGUUUUUCUCUUUGUUUCUCAGGUGUGAGUGAGGUUAUUAAUUUACCCAGGCUUCAACCCAACUAGGGCAUUACCCAGGCUUCAACCCAACUAGGGCAUUACCCAGGCUUCAACCCAACUAGGGUAUUACCCAGGCUUCAACCCAACUAGGGCAUUACCCAGGCUUCAACCCAACUAGGGCAUUACCCAGUCUUCAACCCAACUAGGGCAUUACCCAGUCUUCAACCCAACUAGGGCAUUACCCAGUCUUCAACCCAACUAGGGCAUUACCCAGUCUUCAACCCAACUAGGGCAUUACCCAGUCUUCAACCCAACUAGGGCAUUACCCAACCCAACUAGGGCAUUACCCAGGCUUCAACCCAACUAGGGCAUUACCCAGGCUUCAACCCAACUAGGGCAUUACCCAGGCUUCAACCCAACUAGGGCAUUACCCAGGCUUCAACCCAACUAGGGCAUUACCCAGGCUUCAACCCAACAAGGGCUUCAACCCAACACAGUCUCCUAAAAAACGCUGUCUUCCAAUAGUGUCUUUAACAGAUUCACAAAGUCAAACCAUAUACUUAGACCUUUCCUCUGAGAUAAGUAUGUUGACACAUAGAUUGAAUACAUUUUAUACAAGUAGAAAGGUAUAUACAGUACAUAUAUAGUCAAUUACAUUAUAUUGAAUGUAGGCCGUUGCAAGUUACUGAUGUGGUAGAAAACAGUCACUUUAAAAUGUUUACACCUUUACAUAAGACAGUUUGUAAGAAAAAAUAUGAUCCUGUAAACUUUUGUAAUUUCUUCACUUGAAGAUUUCUCGGAUCUUCCUUUAUGUGUGACUUGAAAAAUGUAACUUACAUCAAGGAGGAAAAACUAGCACCAGCAUUUAAAACUCAAGGUUUUUAUUGGAAUAAAACUUUAUAAAAUACACAUCAUGUGAAACGGACUGUUUUUACUGUACUAUUCAUGGUUUGUAGAUAACGAGCAGUCUUGCUAUUUUGAAACUGAUUUCCAAAAUGACUGUAUUUAACUGUGUAUAUCAAUUUGACAGACUUUUAAAAAAAAUACUAAAUUCAGCAUUCCUGUCAAAGGCUGCUGUCUGGUGAUUUUGAAAUAAAGAUGUAUUUAUAUUUUGGA